CUUCUUCUCAAUUUCUUGAUUUCUACACCCACCCUAUUUGAUACUCAAACCCCUUCUUUUCUGCUUCUGGUAAUACAGUAGGACAACUUUGUACCAUUUUAUUACCAAAAUUAGAGAAGAAUCAGUGUUUAAGGGGUCGUUUGGAUGCCUGUAAAUGGGGCUAAUUGUAAAUGAUUUUCGGGUAAUUGGUUUAAAGUCUGUGUUUGGAUGCUGAAAAAUGCCUGUAAAUCAUUUACAGCUUUCAGCCUCAUUUGAUUUCCCUGCAAAAAGCUGUGAUUUCAUUUACAGGCUAAAUGGCGUUUGUGUUUGCUUGUGGGCUUGUGUAAUAUUUGGGGAGAACACAACAUGCGGUGUUUUCGGAAUAGAUCAGGACCUUGGGAAGAAGUAUACUGGAAGUCUAAAAGGGAUGUAAUGGAUUGGACAGCUUCUAUCUGUCAUUGUGAUGUUUCCUUUGCUCAAUCAUUAUCAGGGCUUUAAUAUUUGCUUUUCUUAGUUUAUUAUUAUUACUGUUUUGGGUUGUUGUCUGGCAGCUUUUGACGCAGGGAAGGACGUGAGGUCGAGAACCGAGUUCCUCAAGGGGAUAACUGUUCCAAAUCCACAUUACUUCUCUGGGCUCCUCAUAGAGACUUCUUGAAUCCAUGAGGAAAUAACAAGAAAAAUAGAAAAUAAAUUUUAUAAAAUUCGAAAUUGAUUGAUGAUUAAAAUAAACGAGUCUACAACCCUUUAAAUAGGGAUACUAAGCCAUGGAAGAAAUUUCGGAAUCAAACUACGACUAAAACUCUUAGAAAUCGCGACUUACUAUAAAUAGUAAACUUACUAUUUAUUAAUAGAUGGUCGUGCUGUCUACUAGUGCGCAAGGUUUUAGGCCAAAAAUAGUAAGUGUCCUAUUUGGCUUCACCAUGCUGUUCUCCUAAUUAUUCUGGGCACAACUCCUGAAGCCCAAUGGAUGAAGAGUUAUAAUCAAACUAAAACUUACUAUUUAUAGUAAAAAUGGAAUUAAAACAGGGAAACGACUGUUGAUCUGAUGGUAUUUCGCAAAUCUGGCUUGCGCAACCCGGCGUAAUGGGGUUGGGUGGCUAAAGUAGCUCGUCCUAUCCCAAAAUCAAUAACUCAUUUUGGUUUGCAAGAUACGGUCCGGAUCAUCUCUGUCUCCGAUCGUGCCUUUUCUGGUCCAUCUUGGCCAUGAAAUUAUCCGCGACCCGCUCUACAUUAGCUUUGAAUAAAAUCAUUAUCCUUCAAAAAAAAAAAAAAAGUUCGUUAUGUAACAUCAACGAGGUUUCUCCUAAUUCCAAGUGCACCAUCCAUAUGCAGCCACAUGGGCCAACCUGCUACAUGUCAUUGGGCUCCAUUAUGUAGAUGCCUUGGCCCAAUAUCAAGAUACUAACAUAUUGGUGGGCAAUUUAUGUAUGUUGAAUCUGGACUGUUGGGCAUCUAUACUAGUCCCUCUUGAUGAGUUGAUUGGCAUGAUUCUUUGGGUAGGGCGUCCUGUUGCAUGACUAAUGUCCCAUGCAUUUCCAGUUGGUACAUGUUGCAUGUGGGUGUGACAAGGGAGAAAUUCAUGUGGAAUUAUGAUGCAACCCGGUUAACAAGUCAAUGAGAUCUUAACACUCGAAUUGCGAAGAAAUGGACAAGAGUACACCCACAAGAAUAUUUGAGUAGGGAGGGAGAAAUACCUUUACCUCCUACCCCACCGCCCCUUUUAUAAACCUUCAAGACAAUUCCCAUGAAUCUUUAAUGAAGAUCCUCCAACUAUUGAUUGAUUUCAAAUCAAUCUCAAUUGAUUUCAAAAUCAGUCUAUAAUUUUCUUUUAAAGAUAUCAAUUUAUAAACUUUUAAGAUAAUAACAAUCCCACACUAACCAAGAUUUGGCCUAAAAUAGCAAGGAAAAAAACAAAACAAA
This is a long non-coding RNA of Magnolia sinica, 1899 nucleotides long. RefSeq lists it as uncharacterized. The transcript is spliced from 2 exons. NCBI's taxonomy places the organism in Eukaryota, Viridiplantae, Streptophyta, Magnoliopsida, Magnoliales, Magnoliaceae. The record is from RefSeq and is a predicted model, not a curated record.